This is a non-coding RNA of Notechis scutatus (mainland tiger snake), 159 nucleotides long. Lineage: Eukaryota; Metazoa; Chordata; Lepidosauria; Squamata; Elapidae. The record is from RefSeq and is a predicted model, not a curated record.
AAUACUUGGUUAAUACCUAGGAUACUGGCAGCAACCUGCAUCAACCAUUAGCGCCAGUCAAUUAUAUUUGUGAUACAUUUUUAAAUGUUCAGUUGACUGAGUUUCAUGUUUAAUGAAUAAAAGAGAUAAUUAAAAAUAACAAGAACAAUAAUAAUAGUA